AAAAAGGAAAUUUUUAAGCGAAAAAACCCAGCAACGGGGGGAGGACCAUCUUCUAAACUGAAAAGGACAACGGAAAUGAUCAUCGAAAUAUACGGAGACGAAUCUCCGAUGUUUUUGGGAGGGAGAGCGGAGUAUCCGGGCGGACGUUACCCACAGCGGUGAAAGAUACACAUUCUCAUACCGCUGUCACAUCAACCCCGUUUGGACAGUCUCUUGACUGCGAGGUGACACUGACAUUGGUCUCUCAAAAUGACGAAGCUCCUGUUACAAGCCAGGAUGACCAAACAACACAAAGUGAAGAUGACGAUUUGGACAGCACCCAAAUGGCACCUGUGGGAAGUGGCUCAGACACCGAGAGACAGAAAGAUGCUCCAAGCAAGAUAAC
Molecule: long non-coding RNA, 385 nt
Organism: Carassius auratus (goldfish)
Lineage: Eukaryota; Metazoa; Chordata; Actinopteri; Cypriniformes; Cyprinidae
Exons: 3
Source: RefSeq, a predicted model, not a curated record